This 442-nucleotide unclassified non-coding RNA is filed under the name Melitaea cinxia (Glanville fritillary). Its description in RNAcentral is "misc RNA ENSMCXG00005020266.1". Lineage: Eukaryota; Metazoa; Arthropoda; Insecta; Lepidoptera; Nymphalidae. The record is from RNAcentral.
AUUGGGAACGGCGAGGGAAAGAUUUCACGUUUUCGUGUUUUGUUGGCCAGGUUCGCCUGCAUAUUGAAAAUUAUGUCUCUGAAGUAGAGAAUAAUAAUUUUAUUUAUCUCAACAAUAAUGCUUCCUUAUUUUGUUCAUUUUGAAAUAGAUAUUUUUAUCUGAUUUCGGGGAUGGUGGGAACGAGAGAUUACACAUAUGCAAUCUACUCUGGUAAGAUUUCAAACCAUUCUUUUAAAUUUUGCAUCGGUUCGAUUCCGCCAUUUUGACAACGUGUUUUCUUUGUUUCAGGGUUUUUUCAUUCUUUCAUUUUUAUAUUUCCUUAGUAUUUUAUUGUUUUAUUUUAUUAUAUUACGUAACUAAUUAAUAGAAAUAUGACUUUAGAAGAAAAUACACUUGCGUUACCAUGAUGUAGGAAAAAUUUAAAUAUGAAAAAUUUAUAAUU